This 1923-nucleotide long non-coding RNA is filed under the name Mus musculus (house mouse). RNAcentral's name for it is "long non-coding RNA chr16:29228607-29230530". Lineage: Eukaryota; Metazoa; Chordata; Mammalia; Rodentia; Muridae. The record is from RNAcentral.
AACAUCUAAAUUCCUUUUGCUUUCUUUGUCAGAAAAAGGAGCGUGAACAUAUCCAGUAGUUUGGAUACAUGGAUAUAUAUCCAUGAUAUAUCCAAGUACUUAAGGAUCUCUGCAUGACAAAGCAUUUGAGGUGGUACCCCCAUAUUGCUGCACCUGUGUGGGUGGAGCAUGUAAGAAGGAGUGGGGGACUUUUGUGUGUGCAUAUGUAUGGAAUUCUUAUGAAUGGUGUGCAUGUAUAGGGACGGUCUUGGUCUCACCUUUUUUAUUCUUAUUUUAUUCUUAUUCUUAUUUUAUUUUAUAAUUUAUAAAAGGAGACAGGGUAUGCUGUCCUUUAUAGCUUAUGGCAAACUAGCUAGCCUGUGGGCAUCCAGAGAGUCUCCUGUCUCUGCCUCCAUUUCACGGUAGGAGUUCUGGAGUUACCGAAGUGAACUAACAACCCAAGCUUUCUGUGGACUCUGGGGAUCUGAGCUCAAGACAUCAUGCUUAUGUUUAAGAUGCUUUACCCACUGAGCCCCUCUCCAAUCUCUCUCUCUCUCUUUCUUUCUCUCUCUCUCUCCCUUGUACGUUCAGACCCAGUGUUCAAGACUCAGUGAUGAACAAUGGGCUGUCGUUUUAUUGAUUUAAAUGGAUCCCUCCACAUUGUGUAGUAGCUCAGUGGUUUGACCUUUGGGGCUUGGCAAGCAAUCAUUAAUAUUAAUGCAAAGAGCUAUAUUUAAAACACAAAAUUCCUCAUUCCUUUAAAGAUGUGAACUGUAAAUCAAGGAAUCCGCUUAUUUUAUUCUUUUAUUUUACUGAUUAUCCGUUGAAUUAAACUCCUUCUUAAUGCCAUUUCUGCAGAAUUCUUGAUAGCAGGUCAGGAGAGGUGGGACGUUAGUCUUUCUACAUGAAGGUAGUAUAAGGGCAUCAUGACAUUACCUCAUAAACCACACAGCUAGCCCGGCAUCCUUUUGUGCCAUUAUCAAAAGCAUGUCAAUCAAUAAGGAAAGAGUGCCAGUGACCAUGGGGAUAGAACGUGAUGGAGUAUGGUAAAGUCAAGUGCACAAGACUCGGUGGAAAGCUCAGACCUACUUAACUGAUUUGACCUUGGUGCUGGAAACACUCACACUGAUGAGGGUAACAGUAAUGUGAACAGAACUAUGUGCUGCCACUCCCAUCCAGACAGAGUCCCCUCUGUCCCUUCUUUACUUUUCUAACAGGCCCUUCUUGUCCGAACCUCCAGACUCAUUCUUUAGUUGUCUCAGAAGGCACGAGGUUACUUUUAUCCUGAAUGCAGGUCUCUGUUCCCAAAUAGUAAAGAAUAUUCAGUUUUCUAGAAGUUUCCUAUUAAGGUAAGGGCAGCUGCAGCCUCUGGGCUACUUUCCCCUGGUGUGCCACCUUCUCAAUAAACUAUAUUUGCAGGGCAUUUGUCUCUGGCAGAAUUACACCGCCUGUCAGGAAAGGGACUAGGACUGAGAACCAAAUGCCUCUUAGGGAUUCAAAUGAAACCUUUCUAGAGGACUCUGACAUCUCCACUCCAGAAGAAAAGCAAAAUGUUAAAAGGAAAACGUCAGAAAUGCACUUUUUAAUCCAUGGGUUUAUUUCCUUAUCAGUUAUGUGAAGCUUUGGCAGCCUUGGUUUGCUGUAAACAUGGCCAACCUUAAAAUGGGCAGCCCUAAAUAGCUGUGGUUGUUUUCCUGCAGGUACUCAAUACCCACACGUUCAAUGCAACUUAUACUUGGAUCAGCUAUUUCCCCAACACUAUGAAAUAUUGUCUGGGCAUAUUUUCAGCAGUCAGGAAUGGAGUCCACUUCUAUCAUGUUUCAAAAAAUGGAAUGUAAAGAUCACCUGCAUCAAGUGAUAGGUUUUUGGUAAUACAAGGAAAGAAAUGUCUGUAUUUUUAUUGAAUAUGUACAUAUAACAAAUAAAAUAUGCUAUCUAAAUGUC